Molecule: RNA transcript, 2890 nt
Organism: Nymphaea colorata (pocket water lily)
Lineage: Eukaryota; Viridiplantae; Streptophyta; Magnoliopsida; Nymphaeales; Nymphaeaceae
Exons: 5
Source: RefSeq, a predicted model, not a curated record
UGCUCACCCGCCUUCUCCCUCUCUCUUUAUCUCUCUCCCUCGACCUUGCGCUGUGGAAUUGCUUCCAAAUAGGGUUGGGAUCUUGUCCUUCUUCAGGUAUCUGAUCGUGGGGGGAGAUCUCUUGGGCUGGGGAUGAGUCGGGGGAAGAAUUCGCUUAAAGGAGGGAGGAAAAGGCGGAGGGGCGAGAGCUCCGACGAUUCCGAUGAGGAUUUCGUCGUGGACGAGGAGGAGGAGGAAGAUGACGAGGAGGACGAGGAUUACGAUGAAGAUGAUUGUGAAGACUGCAGCGAUGCUGGCGAUGACGGCGAGGAGGAGGCGGAGAAUGAGGAGGAAGAUCGUGAUUUCAGCGGUUCGGAAGAUUCGGAUGGUUCAGGUGCGAGAACCCGAAAAAUCAAACAGAAAAAACCUGGAAGAAAAUUGUCAGGCCGCAGAAUCAAGAAAGCGAGAAGGAGAAGCAGAGUUUCGUGCGAUGAAGAGGAGGAGGACGAAGAUUUCUAUCCUGGAUCGGAGAAUAGCACCGGGGAUGAGGAGGAAGAGGAGGAGUUGGUUGUUGCGAGGAAUUCUGUUAAAAGGAAGGUGGCAGGAGUAAGGAGAAGGAAAGGUAGAAGAACGAUAGGUUCCGUCAAGAAGGUCCGGAAAUCUGCCGUCGAGAGGACGAGGAAGCGACGUAGUAGGAGAGUUGCUUCGUCGGAAGAAGAGGAGGAGGAGGAGGAGGAGGAGGAGGAGGAAGAGGAGGAGGAGGAGGACGAGUACGAGUACGACGAUGAUUUUGAGGAUGAAGAAGAGAAUACUAGCAGGAAGAGGAUAAGGUCAAGCCCUAAGGCCAAGAAGAAGAGAUCGAGCCAGAGAAAGAUGGCAGAAACUCCGUCCGAUUUAGAUUCUUUGUCAGAUGCGGAUUUCGUUGUGUCAGAUGAAGAAACUGAUAUUCCGAUGGAGGUACCGGAUGUGAUUUUAGCGACGCGCUCGAGACGCUCCCCUGGUCUAAAAGGGGAUCAGGUUAUGGGCGAUUCGGGUCCGCGAGAACAAAAUGGAAGGAUUGUGAAGUUCGUUGUUGAGGCGGACAGAAUUGGGUGUAAAGGCAAAGAGAAGCUUACAGAUUUUUGUAAGCAAGUAUGUGGGAUUUGUCUAUCGGAAGAACGGAAGGGCACUGUUCGUGGCAAGCUAAAUUGUUGCGAUCAUUUUUUCUGCUUCAUUUGUAUAAUGGAAUGGUCAAAGGUCGAAUCAAGGUGUCCGAUGUGCAAACAGCGGUUCGAGACUAUUGACAAAUUAUCAAACUCGGGGAUUUGCCUAAGGAAUGUAACGAUAAAUGUUCCAUGCAGGAAUCAGGUUUACCAACCUUCUGAAGAAGAGCUGAGGAGUUACCUUGAUCCCUAUGCCAAUAUAGUUUGUAUGGAGUGCCACCAAGGUGGUGAUGAUAACCUCAUGCUGCUUUGUGAUAUCUGUGAUUCCUCUGCUCACACUUAUUGUGUUGGUCUUGGGAUGGUAGUUCCUGAAGGCAAUUGGUACUGUGAAGGUUGUAAAGCUUCUGAUCCAGAAUCUUCCAAUUUGCGGCCACUGCGCAGUUCUGUACAAGAGCAGUUUGUUGAUUGCAUUUCAUAUCCUGAAAAUGCCAUUCAUAUUGAUGUUCCCUCACUUUUUGGCCCUAGUUCUCAAUGUUUAAGGACUUCAGUUAGCCAACCUUCCUGCCACAUAAAUGAUGCAGCUCCUAGGUUUCCUGUCUGUGGGGAUUCUGCAACUACUUCGCCUACUUUAGGAGCAGGUGCCUCUACUGUCAUGGGCAGACGCAGGUUACGGCGCCAGAUACACUCAAUGCUUACUAGUAAUAGAAUGAGUGAGAUGCCUAAUUUCAUUGAAGUAAGUAAUAGAUUAUUAAAUAGAAAUUAUAAUAGUAGUGCAAUCAGACCUGAGGAGCAGGAUCUUGGAGUGAAAGAGCAGCUUGGGAGAUCAAAAUGUGAUAGAUCUGAUGGUUACCUUUUUAAUGAGAGUGGCAGGUAUGCGAGUUCCACUGUAAUAGAUAGCUUUGGAGAAAGUUCGUCUCAGCAUCUGCAACACAUAAGUUACUUGUCUCCAAGCGUGAGCGGAUUGAGAACUACUGUUCAAUGCCCAAAUAGUUACACUUCUAAUAAUCUUUCUGAUGAAAAUAUCUCCACUUGUGAGCCUAAAGUAGCUCAUCCACGAGCAGUGUGGUACGAAGAAAUGCAAGAUCUGGAGGAACAACCUAGGAUUGUGCUGAAUGAUGAUGCAGACAGUUCGCAGGUGCAUGAUGCAAAAGAACAAGUUUGUGCAUUGGUUAAACCUCAUCUAAAAGCUUUGGUCAAAGAAGGCUAUAUAGGUAAGCUGGGCUAGGCAGAACCCUUGCCUGAUUAUGCCAGCAGAGAUGAACCUCAGAUAUUGGAACCUUAACCUUCUUCAACUUGAUAGUUCUGGAAGGUUUUCUCUAGGUAAGCUGGGUUAGGCAGAACCCUUGCCUGAUUAUGUCAGCAGAGGUGAACCUCAGCUAUUGGAACCUUAACCUUCUUCAACUUGAAGGUUUUAAGUUGAACUCUUUUGCCAGGUGAACAGAGAUUGGCAGCUUGGCGCUUGCCAAUAUUGUGGUCGACACUUAAGCAUCAAAUGUUGUCACAAUGUUACCAACAAGCAACAGCCUGCAGCCUUCAAAUCACAAAAUAAUUUGUUAGCUACCUGUAAUAUCACAUCAUUUAUUUUGAAGUUGUGGCAGCUUGAUUUAGCCAUAACCUCACCAUCUGAAUGAGCGUGGUGACUUCAAGGACAUUGCAAAACGAUCUACACACACAAUCCUAGCAGCCUACGGGAUCAAGUGCUCGAGAAGUCAAGCUGUAUCGGUUCAACCGCCAAACUGUGACCAUGCAACAGAUGGUUUUAGUUUGUG